GGGGAAUAUAAGUAAAAAAAGAAAUUAAAAUGCACAUAAGUAGCCAUGUAUUUAAAUACAUGGUUUAUUUAUUUAAAAAAUAUAAAGAAAUUAAUAUAUAUUUGCCUAUAUCUGCACACACUGACCCACAGACACACACAGUGCACCCUUCACACACAUGCUGCACCACACACACCGCAGCACAGACACACACAGUGCACCCUUCACACACAUGCUGCACCACACACACACCACAGCACAGACACACACAUUGCACCACACACACACACCACACCACAGACACACACAGUGCACCACAGACACACACAGUGCACCAUUCACACACACACUACAC
Molecule: non-coding RNA, 334 nt
Organism: Pelobates cultripes (western spadefoot toad)
Lineage: Eukaryota; Metazoa; Chordata; Amphibia; Anura; Pelobatidae
Source: the annotation of a GenBank genome assembly